This 434-nucleotide ribosomal RNA is filed under the name uncultured Clostridium sp. Its description in RNAcentral is "partial 16S ribosomal RNA". It matches the Rfam family "Bacterial small subunit ribosomal RNA", at positions 341 to 792 of the family's 1533-position model. Lineage: Bacteria; Bacillati; Bacillota; Clostridia; Eubacteriales; Clostridiaceae. The record is from RNAcentral.
ACGGGAGGCAGCAGUGGGGAAUAUUGCACAAUGGAGGGAACUCUGAUGCAGCAACGCCGCGUGAGUGAAGAAGUAUUUCGGUAUGUAAAGCUCUAUCAGCAGGGAAGAAAAUGACGGUACCUGACUAAGAAGCCCCGGCUAACUACGUGCCAGCAGCCGCGGUAAUACGUAGGGGGCAAGCGUUAUCCGGAUUUACUGGGUGUAAAGGGAGCGUAGGUGGCAACGCAAGUCAGAAGUGAAAGCCCGGGGCUCAACUCCGGGACUGCUUUUGAAACUGUGUAGCUAGAGUGCAGGAGAGGUAAGUGGAAUUCCUAGUGUAGCGGUGAAAUGCGUAGAUAUUAGGAGGAACACCGGUGGCGAAGGCGGCUUACUGGACUGUAACUGACACUGAGGCUCGAAAGCGUGGGGAGCAAACAGGAUUAGAUACCCUGGUA